GACCGGCGCACGGGUGAGUAACGCGUAUGCAACCUACCUAUCAGAGGGGGAUAGCCCAUCGAAAGAUGGAUUAAUACCGCAUAAAACAGGGGUCCCGCAUGGGAAUAUUUGUUAAAGAGAUUCGCUGAUAGAUGGGCAUGCGUUCCAUUAGUUAGUUGGUGUAGGUAACGGCUCACCAAGACAUCGAUGGAUAGGGGUUCUGAGAGGAAGGUCCCCCACACUGGUACUGAGACACGGACCAG
Molecule: ribosomal RNA, 242 nt
Filed under: uncultured bacterium
Lineage: Bacteria
Description: partial 16S ribosomal RNA
Rfam family: Bacterial small subunit ribosomal RNA
Source: RNAcentral